UACGGAGGGUGCAAGCGUUAUCCGGAUUUACUGGGUUUAAAGGGUGCGUAGGUGGGUAAGUAAGUCAGUGGUGAAAUCUUCGAGCUUAACUCGGAAACUGCCAUUGAUACUAUUUAUCUUGAAUACUUUGGAGGUAAGCGGAAUAUGUCAUGUAGCGGUGAAAUGCUUAGAUAUGACAUAGAACACCAAUUGCGAAGGCAGCUGGCUACACAAAUAUUGACACUGAGGCACGAAAGCGUGGGGAGCAAACAGG
This 253-nucleotide ribosomal RNA is filed under the name uncultured bacterium. Its description in RNAcentral is "partial 16S ribosomal RNA". It matches the Rfam family "Bacterial small subunit ribosomal RNA", at positions 524 to 776 of the family's 1533-position model. The record is from RNAcentral.